AGUUACCAUCAGGUAAGGCUGGGGACUCUAAUGAGGACUGCCAUCGUAAGAUGUGAGGAAGGUGGGGAUGACGUCAAAUCAGCACGGCCCUUACGUCCGGGGCGACACACGUGUUACAAUGGGUGGUACAAAGGGCAGGCUACCUGGCGACAGGAUGCUAAUCUCGAAAACCGCUCUCAGUUCGGAUCGGAGUCUGCAACUCGACUCCGUGAAGCUGGAUUCGCUAGUAAUCGCGCAUCAGCCACGGCGCGGUGAAUACGGUUCCCGGGUCCUU
RNAcentral lists this ribosomal RNA (274 nucleotides) under uncultured Proteiniphilum sp. RNAcentral's name for it is "partial 16S ribosomal RNA". It matches the Rfam family "Bacterial small subunit ribosomal RNA", at positions 1113 to 1382 of the family's 1533-position model. The record is from RNAcentral. Lineage: Bacteria; Pseudomonadati; Bacteroidota; Bacteroidia; Bacteroidales; Dysgonomonadaceae.